UGAGGAAUAUUGGUCAAUGGGCGAGAGCCUGAACCAGCCAAGUCGCGUGAGGGAAGACGGUACUAAGUAUUGUAAACCUCUUUUGUCAGGGAACAAAGAGACCACGCGUGGUAAGAUGAGUGUACCUGAAGAAAAAGCAUCGGCUAACUCCGUGCCAGCAGCCGCGGUAAUACGGAGGAUGCGAGCGUUAUCCGGAUUUAUUGGGUUUAAAGGGUGCGUAGGCGGUAUAGCAAGUCAGCGGUUAAAUGUCGGGGCUCAACCUCGGCCUGCCGUUGAAACUGUUGUACUAGAGAGAAUGAGAAGUAUGCGGAAUGCGUGGUGUAGCGGUGAAAUGCUUAGAUAUCACGCAGAACUCCGAUUGCGAAGGCAGCAUGCCGGCAUUUAUCUGACGCUGAGGCACGAAAGCGUGGGGAUCGAACAGG
RNAcentral lists this ribosomal RNA (422 nucleotides) under uncultured prokaryote. RNAcentral's name for it is "bacterial SSU rRNA". It matches the Rfam family "Bacterial small subunit ribosomal RNA", at positions 355 to 776 of the family's 1533-position model. RNAcentral also lists the same sequence under 1 other name. The record is from RNAcentral.